Molecule: RNA transcript, 2655 nt
Organism: Jaculus jaculus (lesser Egyptian jerboa)
Lineage: Eukaryota; Metazoa; Chordata; Mammalia; Rodentia; Dipodidae
Gene: Zbtb37
Gene name: zinc finger and BTB domain containing 37
Exons: 5
Source: RefSeq, a predicted model, not a curated record
CCCUCACCUGCGACUCACUCCUCCUCCGCUCCACGCCCGGCCCCCUCCUCGCGGAGUUCUUCGGAGACGUUUCCCCGCGCUUCCCUGCAGACUUGGGCACCUGAGUGGCUGCUCCAUCCCACGCCGUUCCCAGUUCUCCCUCUUACCGCGCUCACCCCGCCAGUGCCGGUGGUAGAGACUUUCUGUACUGGGGCUUCCUCCUCCCUGGAGUUGCCGGAAAGAGCAAACAAACAAACGAACAAACAAACAAAAAAACAGGCGCUGGUGUAGGCUCCAAAAUAAACACAUCUGAAUUCAUGAUGGCAUCGACAGAGGCUCUUAUUGGAUUAAAAGUUUCCAAACAAACAAUAACACUUUGGAAAAAGGGUUGAAUGCCUGUCUGUACGUUCAGGCAUGACCAUGGAGAAAGGUGGGAACAUACAAUUGGAGAUCCCUGACUUCAGCAACUCUGUCCUGAGCCAUCUAAACCAACUACGCAUGCAGGGCCGCCUCUGUGAUAUUGUGGUCAAUGUGCAAGGACAAGCUUUCCGGGCUCACAAAGUAGUGCUGGCCGCCAGCUCCCCCUAUUUCCGCGAUCACAUGUCCUUGAAUGAAAUGAGUACUGUCUCCAUCUCAGUCAUCAAGAAUCCCAGUGUUUUUGAGCAGCUGCUUUCUUUCUGUUACACAGGGCGGAUAUGCCUGCAACUGGCAGAUAUCAUCAGCUACCUAACAGCUGCUAGCUUUCUGCAGAUGCAGCAUAUAAUAGACAAAUGUACACAGAUCCUGGAGGGCAUUCAUUUUAAAAUUAAUGUGGCUGAGGUUGAAGCAGAAUUAAGUCAAACAAGGACAAAGCAUCAAGAGAGACCUCCCGAGUCUCACAGGGUUACACCGACUCUAAACCGCUCACUUAGCCCACGCCAUAAUAUCCCAAAGGGAAACCGGCGAGGACAGGUUAGUGCUGUGCUGGAUAUCAGAGAGCUAAGUCCCCCCGAGGAGUCCACCAGCCCUCAGAUAAUUGAACAGAGCUCUGAUGUAGAGAGCAGGGAGCCCAUUCUUCGAAUCAACCGUGCAGGACAGUGGUAUGUGGAGACAGGAGUAGCGGACCGGGGAGGCCGGAGUGAUGAUGAAGUUAGGGUUCUUGGAGCAGUGCACAUCAAAACUGAAAAUCUUGAAGAGUGGCUUGGGCCUGAGAAUCAGCCUUCUGGAGAAGAGGGGAGUAGUGCGGAGGAAGUUACAGCCAUGGUGAUUGACACCACAGGCCAUGGUUCUAUAGGACAGGAAAGUUACACCUUGGGGUCUUCAGGAGCCAAGGUGGCUCGGCCAACAAGCAGUGAAGUUGACAGAUUUAGCCCCUCCGGCAGUGUUGUUCCCAUGACAGAAAGACACAGAGCCAGAAGUGAGUCUCCUGGGAGAAUGGAUGAGCCUAAGCAACCCAGCUCCCAGGUAGAAGAAUCAGCCAUGAUGGGAGUAAGUGGCUAUGUGGAGUAUCUUCGAGAGCAGGAAGUAUCUGAGCGAUGGUUCAGGUACAAUCCCCGUCUCACUUGUAUCUACUGCGCCAAAUCUUUCAACCAAAAGGGGAGUCUGGACCGUCACAUGCGCCUGCACAUGGGAAUCACACCAUUUGUCUGCCGCAUGUGUGGCAAAAAGUAUACCCGGAAAGAUCAGCUAGAAUAUCAUAUUCGUAAGCACACAGGCAAUAAGCCCUUUCACUGUCAUGUUUGUGGCAAAAGUUUUCCCUUCCAGGCCAUCUUGAAUCAGCACUUUCGCAAAAACCACCCUGGCUGUCUACCCCUGGAGGGACCUCAUAGCAUUUCCCCUGAAACAACUGUCACAUCUCGAGGACAAACAGAAGAAGAGUCACCUUCACAGGAAGAAACAGUUGCUCCUGGGGAGACUGCCCAGGGCUCUGUGUCUACUACAGGGCCGGAUUGAAACAUUGAGGGGAGGAGGCAGACCCUCUUUCUCUUUAGGCCGUAAGAAGCCCCCAUCAGGGCCAUGGGCUGGUACUUAGAUUCAUAAAAUGCCACAUUGCUAAACCAGGAGGUGUUCCCACAAUGUUGCCAAACCAGAGGAUCAACAGCAUACAGAAAGCGCUGAAGGCUUAUCCUCUUUCCCACCUCACACUUUGGAAAAUAAUCAAACAAAUCACUUUGGAAUUCAGGGAUCAACAGCCUUGGUUUGUUAACUUUAUAAGAAAACACAUUUUUAUAAACAAAACUGAUAAAUGGUCAUUUAUCUACCAGUCAUGUUUGAACUGUACUUUGGUCCAUAUCAUCUUGGUGGGUGAAAUUGCCCAGACCAAAAAAAAAAUACAACAGGAGCCUUGGCCAUCUGAAGCAGCUAAUCAGAAGAGAGAAAGAGCAUCACAAGUCUAAACCAUUUCAAGCCAAUCACAACAAGCCAAGUGAGUAGAAACUAAAGGUUUAGAUUUCUGCUUUUAGCUACAUCUUGAAGCAGAUAUUGAUGACAUAUUUGAAGAUGAUCUACUGAACUUCCUAUAAAGUAAUAGAAUCCCAGCAACAGUGGUUAAGUUGAACCACUCAAAACAGAAUUGCUAUGCAGGAAACAAAGCCUAGGUAUGUUUCCUCUGGAAGCCAAGAUACUAGAGCAGAGGUUACUAAACGUGUGGCUAAAAUCCACCUCUGGAAUGGCUAUUAGAUAGCAGAAAUAUUUAGA